AAUACCGGAUAGGACCACUUCACGCAUGUGAUGGUGGUGGAAAGUUUUUUCGGCGCAGGAUGUGCUCGCGGCCUAUCAGCUUGUUGGUGAGGUAACGGCUCACCAAGGCUUUGACGGGUAACCGGCCUGAGAGGGUGACCGGUCACACUGGGACUGAGACACGGCCCAGACUCCUACGGGAGGCAGCAGUGGGGAAUAUUGGACAAUGGGCGGAAGCCUGAUCCAGCAACGCCGCGUGAGGGAUGACGGCCUUCGGGUUGUAAACCUCUUUCAGUACCGACGAAGCGAAAGUGACGGUAGGUACAGAAGAAGGACCGGCCAACUACGUGCCAGCAGCCGCGGUAAUACGUAGGGUCCGAGCGUUGUCCGGAAUUAUUGGGCGUAAAGGGCUCGUAGGCGGUUUGUCGCGUCGGGAGUGAAAACACCGGGCUUAACUCGGUGCUUGCUUUCGAUACGGGCAGACUAGAGGUAUGCAGGGGAGAAUGGAAUUCCUGGUGUAGCGGUGAUAUGCGCAGAUAUCAGGAGGACACCGGUGGCGAAGGCGGUUCUCUGGGCAUUACCUGACG
Molecule: ribosomal RNA, 566 nt
Filed under: uncultured Actinomycetes bacterium
Lineage: Bacteria; Bacillati; Actinomycetota; Actinomycetes
Description: bacterial SSU rRNA
Rfam family: Bacterial small subunit ribosomal RNA
Source: RNAcentral